Molecule: ribosomal RNA, 424 nt
Filed under: Fusobacteriota bacterium
Lineage: Bacteria; Fusobacteriati; Fusobacteriota
Description: Fusobacteria bacterium partial 16S ribosomal RNA
Rfam family: Bacterial small subunit ribosomal RNA
Source: RNAcentral
UGAGGAAUAUUGGUCAAUGGGCGAGAGCCUGAACCAGCCAAGUAGCGUGCAGGAUGACGGCCCUAUGGGUUGUAAACUGCUUUUAUGUGGGGAUAAAGUGCGUGACGUGUCAUGCAUUGCAGGUACCACAUGAAUAAGGACCGGCUAAUUCCGUGCCAGCAGCCGCGGUAAUACGGAAGGUCCGGGCGUUAUCCGGAUUUAUUGGGUUUAAAGGGAGCGUAGGCUGUCCAUUAAGCGUGUUGUGAAAUUUACCGGCUCAACCGGUGGCUUGCAGCGCGAACUGGUCGACUUGAGUAUGCAGGAAGUAGGCGGAAUUCAUGGUGUAGCGGUGAAAUGCUUAGAUAUCAUGACGAACUCCGAUUGCGCAGGCAGCUUACUGUAGCAUAACUGACGCUGAUGCUCGAAAGUGCGGGUAUCAAACAGG